AGUUACCGAGAAUGGAGAGAAUUGGAGCAUGGGACAGAGGCAGCUGGUCUGUCUCGGGCGUGUGCUGCUCAAGAAAAGUAAGAUCCUAGUGCUUGAUGAAGCUACGGCAUCAGUUGAUACAGCUACCGAUAAUCUGAUUCAGACAACCUUAAGGGAGCACUUUUCUGACUGUACAGUCAUAACAAUUGCACACCGGAUCACUUCUGUUCUUGACAGUGAUCUGGUUCUGCUUCUAAGCCACGGUUAGCACGGUUGUGUUAUCUAUCAUUUGCUUGUAGGAUCCUUUGAACUUCAUUUCGUUUAAAACUAUGUUUAACUGUCGCAGGACUUGUCGAAGAAUACGAUUCUCCCGCUAGAUUGCUGGAAAACAAGUCUUCAGCUUUCGCACAGCUUGUAGCCGAGUAUACUGUGAGAUCAAAUUCAAGCCUGGAGAAGUUCGACUGAAUUAGAUGAUCACGAAAAAUAUAUGUUUGGUACUCAUUGGGAAUGUUUUGUACAAGACAAGCCUAGUAGUGUUCUUGGCUUCAAUAAACACUAGUUGUAUAUUUUCCUUUUCUCUCUUCUAUCAGUCUGCCAUUAUUAAGUUACAAAGAAUUUUUAAGACAUAUGUUCGGGCAAUUAGACGUUAACAAAAUUAAUGUAAAAAAAUUGUCAAAAACACGUGCGAAGAAAAAAAGUUUAUUAAUAUAAAGUCAACAAUUGGGUGGUGGGCCUUCACACGUCCAUUAAUGGGGCCCAUUUCAAAAAGAGAGUGUCCAGAUGAGUAUCCCCCAAGUUUUCGUUGUGAGCAAUGAGCAUACAAGUCGAAGCAAAACUGUGGGGUUUCAGUACGGCGCCGUUUUAAUUGUCUCUUUCCGGUUUUUGGGCAGACGGGCUGGAUUUGAGUCUUCGGUUUGGUUCACCGCCAGGUGUCAAUACAAUGACGGUUGGAAAUUCCAACGGUUUUUUGUUAGAGUUUCCCGGGUUUUUUUUUGUUCCUACUAAUUUACUAUUUUGUGGUUUGAGAAAUAUUUUAAAAUUGUUUUAAAUUUAUUUAUAAUAAAUAAAAAAGACCUUUGAUACCCACAAUUAUUAUUGUUUUGAGUUAUUUUCAAAUUAACCAACGAAAAUAAUUUUUGCUAAAAAGGGUCAUUAAUAUUUUUUAAUGAGUAAAAAGGGUCAUUAGGUUUAAAAUAAUAAUAAAAGAAUAUUUUUUUAUUUAUUUCUAAAAAUUAUUAAAAUAAUUAAAACUUAGCAACUUUUAACAGGUUCAUAGGAUCAGAUUAUGAUAAUCUUCAUGGAUAAAUGAAAGAAAAAUUAAUUCUUGAAUUAAAAAACAAAGGUUUGUUUUUUUCUUUGUUGAUAAUGCAAAAGUUCUGGUAAAAAUUUCAUUGCAAAAGAGGAGUUUUUUUGGGUUAAUUUCUAUUUCCCUCACUACAGAAUCACUCUCACUCUCUAUAUCUCUUCAGCUGUGUGUCUCUUAUGUUUUGUCUCUCUCUCUCUUUCAAAGAUCAAAACUUUCUCGGAAAGCCUCCAAGUUUUUUGUUUUUGGUCUCUCUUUUGAGGCUUAAGCCUCCCUUCCCUUUGCUCUCAUGCCGUCUCUCAAGUCUUGGUCUCCACGCAUAUCCCUUCCCCAAGUAAUCUUCCUUUGACUCUCUUCUUUUGUGUCCCUGUCUUGACUGUAACACUCCUUUAAGUCUCGUUUAUAUAUAAACUCAAAAACAAGCAAAAGUAUCUUCCAACAACACUGUAGUCCAAAAUUUUUCUUGAGUAAAAAGUCCAUAAAGAAUGAAACUUUUUGCUUCAGAAUCAUCUUUGCUAAUGAGUUCAGCUUCUAGUUUUCAUUUUCUCCUAAAACCCAUGUUUCUUCAUGGGCUUUCUGCUUCAUUGCACCUACUUUUAUUGCUUUUCUUGCUAGUCUUAUGGUUUGUGGACAGAGUUAAAGAAGCUGGCAGGGAAGGAUCGAAGGAAAGGAUAAGGCAAAGGAAGGUUUUAUGGUAUAAGCAAACUUUAGCUUGUUGUUUUAUUGUUUCAGCUUUCAACACUGUCUUGUGUUUGUUAAGUUAUUUUUAUUGGUAUAGAAAUGGUUGGUCUGAGGAUAAGUUAGUGACUCUUUCUGAUUAUGUGGUAAAAACACUUGCUUGGGGUGCAACGUGUGUUUAUUUGCAUUAUCAGUUCUCCCAUUCUGGUGAACAAAAGAAGUUCCCAUUUUUAUUGAGAAUUUGGUGGGGUUUUUAUUUUUCCAUUUCUUGUUAUUGUCUUGUUAUAGACGUUGUUCGUUACAAAGAACAUGUUUCUUUCCCAAGUCAGUAUUUAGUAUCCGAUGUUUUUUCUGUUAUUACUGGUUUGUUCCUAUGUAUUGUGGGGUUUUUUGGAGGAACUGAAGGUGAAGAUACCCUCCUUGAGGAGCCCCUUUUGAAUGGAGAUUCUAGUGUAGGUAAUGGUGUAGAGUUGAGUAAGAAAAAAAGAGGUGAUACUGUAACCCCAUAUUCAAAUGCUGGUAUUUUCAGCAUUCUUACAUUUUCUUGGAUGGGGCCUCUUAUUGCUGCUGGCAGUAAAAAACCUUUAGACCUUGAGGAUGUUCCUCAGCUAGAUAGCAGUGAUAGUGUUGUUGGCGCUUUUCCAAAUUUUAGAAACAGGCUCGAGUCAGCUGACAGUGAGGGGAGUGGAGUUACCGCGUUUAAGCUGGUGAAGGCACUGUUCUUCUCAGCUUGGAAAGAUAUUCUUUGGACAGCUUUGUUAGCGUUUAUGUACACUGUGGCUUCAUAUGUUGGCCCAUAUCUCAUUGACACUUUUGUUCAGUACCUGAAUGGGCAGCGGGAGUUUAAAAAUGAGGGGUAUCUUCUGGUUAUGGCUUUCUUUGUUGCAAAGCUAGUAGAGUGCUUAUCUCAGAGGCGCUGGUAUUUUAAGUUGCAGCAAGUAGGAAUUAGGCUGAGAGCAGUACUGGUAGCAAUGAUUUAUAACAAGGGUCUAACCCUUUCGUGCCAGUCAAAGCAGAGCCACACCAGUGGGGAGAUCAUCAAUUUCAUGACUGUCGAUGCAGAGAGGGUGGGUGAGUUUAUUUGGUACAUGCAUGAUCCAUGGAAGGUAGUUUUGCAAGUUGCUUUGGCGUUGUUGAUCUUGUAUAAAAAUCUUGGACUAGCAUUCAUUGCAACUUUUGUUGCAACAGUGCUUGUUAUGUUGGCAAAUAUUCCUUUGGGGAAAAUGCUAGAAAAGUUUCAGGAUAAGUUGAUGGAAGCUAAAGAUAAAAGGAUGAAGGCAACAUCAGAAAAUUUGAGGAACAUGAGAAUUCUCAAACUUCAAGGGUGGGAAAUGAAGUUUCUGUCAAAGAUUAUUGGGCUCAGGAAUGUUGAGGAAGAAUGGUUAAAAAGAUUUGUUUAUACAAGUGGCAUCACUGGUUUUGUUUUCUAUGUUGCACCCACAUUUGUGUCUGUAGCCACUUUUGGUGCUUGUAUUCUUUUAGGAGUCCCACUUGAAUCAGGGAAGAUCCUAUCUGCACUUGCAACAUUCAGGAUUCUUCAAGAGCCAAUCUACAGUCUUCCUGACACAAUUUCAAUGAUAGCUCAGACAAAGGUGUCUCUUGAUAGAAUUGCUUCCUUCCUUCGCCUUGAUGACUUGCAGCCUGAUGUUAUAUGGAGGCUUCCAAAAGGUAGUUCUGAUACUGCAAUUGAGAUUGUUGAUGCGAAUUUCUCUUGGGAUUUCUCUUCUGCUACUGGAACGCUAAAAGACAUAAAUUUGAAAGUUUUCCAUGGUAUGAGGGUUGCUGUUUGUGGUACAGUUGGCUCUGGCAAGUCGAGUUUGCUUUCCUGUAUUUUGGGGGAAUUACCCAAGAUAUCUGGAACUCUUAAAUUGUGUGGUACAAAGGCCUAUGUUGCUCAGUCGCCUUGGAUACAAAGUGGCAAGAUUGAAGAGAACAUAUUGUUUGGCAAGGAGAUGGAUAGGGAGAGGUAUGACAGAGUGCUUGAAGCUUGUAGCCUCAAUAAAGAUCUUGAAAUCCUCUCAUUUGGUGAUCAGACCAUUAUAGGUGAGAGGGGAAUCAAUUUGAGCGGUGGGCAGAAGCAAAGAGUACAGAUUGCACGUGCUUUAUACCAAGAUGCUGAUAUCUAUCUCUUUGACGAUCCAUUCAGCGCUGUGGAUGCGCACACAGGAUCUCAUUUAUUUAAGGUAACAUCUUUUCUUCUCUGAUACGAUGGCAUGUAGUUUAAAAGUUACUUUGAAUCUAUGCAGAAAGCUAUACUGCUCUAUCUACGGUAAUUAAUUGAACUACUAACAUUUGCACUUUUGUCAGCUGCUUAUUUGAGCUUUCUUCUUCAGUUGGUGCUUUGCCUGAGUAAUUGUUUAAUCUUUGAAUGAUAGGAAGUUUUACUAGGCAUUUUGAGUUCAAAAACAGUGAUUUAUGUCACUCAUCAAGUUGAGUUUUUACCAGCUGCUGAUCUAAUCUUGGUAAGCUAUUUACAUUUUCAGUGUUUUUAAUCCUACUCCUUGGAGGGUAGGCAAUAAUAUAACUACUGGAUUCAACUUGUACAUUUUUGUUAGGUCAUGAAAGAUGGCAGGAUUACACAAGCUGGAAAGUAUAAUGACAUUUUCAAUUCAGGAACUGACUUUAUGGAACUUGUGGGUGCACAUAAGAAAGCUUUGUCAGCCCUUGAUACUGUUGAUGCAGGAUCUGUUUCUGAAAAAAAAAUCAGUGAGGGAGAUGGUACUACGGGAUGUGCUAAUAGGAAAGUGCAGAAAGAAGAAAAGCAAGGUAAUGGGAGUGGUAAAGUAGAUGAUGUCGGGCCAAAAGGACAGCUUGUUCAAGAAGAAGAGCGAGAAAAAGGAAAAGUUGGGUUUUCAGUCUACUGGAAGUAUAUCACAACAGCAUAUGGGGGAGCUCUUGUGCCAUUAAUAUUGCUUGCGCAGAUUGUCUUUCAGAUUUUUCAAAUUGGUAGCAAUUAUUGGAUGGCUUGGGCAUCUUCCGUGUCUGCAGAUGUCAAACCUCCAGUUGGGAGCUUUACACUAAUAAUUGUCUAUUUAGCUUUGGCCAUUGCUAGUGCCUUUUCUGUCCUUGCCAGAGCCAUGCUUCUUCGUACAGCUGGAUACAAAACAGCCACUCUUCUCUUCAAAAAGAUGCAUUUUUGCAUUUUCCGUGCCCCUAUGUCUUUCUUUGAUUCCACACCAAGUGGAAGAAUUCUAAAUAGAGUUAGUAUCGAAUGUUUUCCUGUAUGGAUUUUAAACAUUCUAUUUAUCUUUUUUUGGGGGGCAUUCCUUUCUUGGUUUUGAAGGAUUCUAUUAACGUCCUGCCUCUUUUAGGCUUCUACAGAUCAAAGUGCAGUGGAUUUGAACAUUCCAAAUCAAGUUGGUGGAUCCGCCUUUUCAGUUAUCGGGCUCCUGGGAAUCAUUGCAGUCAUGUCUCAAGUUGCUUGGCAGAUCUUUAUCAUUUUUAUCCCUGUGAUUGCAACCUGCAUUUGGUAUCAGGUAACUCUUAUAACCUCAUGUGAUAUGCUGUCUGUCAAAUUGUGGCUAUGGAAUGCUUAACCUCAUAAACUUGUAACCAUGCAGCUAUAUAUUGUAAAUCUCGAAGUCGUUUGAAAAAGCAUUCAACCUUGCAUAAUACUUGGACAUAGGAAUUCUCAUAAACUUGUAAUCUUGCAGCAAUAUUACAUAUCUUCUGCACGAGAACUUGCACGAUUGGUUGGAGUAUGCAAAGCUCCAGUGAUACAGCAUUUUGCUGAAACAAUUUUAGGAGCAACAACUAUCAGGAGCUUUGAUCAAGAAUCAAGAUUCCAAGAGACAAACAUGAUACUAACUGAUGCAUAUUCUCGUCCAAAAUUUCAUGCUGCUGCUGCAAUGGAAUGGCUGUGCUUCCGCAUGGACAUGUUGUCUUCUAUUACUUUUGCCUUCUCUUUGUUCUUUUUGAUCUCUAUACCAGAGGGAGUUAUUGAUCCAGGUAAGUGAUUGCAGAUUGGCAUCUUUAUUGACUGACAUGUCAUUGUAGAUAACAGAUGUUAAAGGAGAAUGACUGAUAGUAUUUUCUUUUGUUUAGCCAUUGCUGGUUUAACUGUGACGUAUGGACUCAAUCUAAAUAUGUUGCAAGCUUGGGUAGUAUGGAAUAUUUGCAAUAUGGAGAAUAAAAUUAUAUCUGUUGAGAGACUGCUUCAGUACAGUAGUAUUCCUAGUGAGCCUGCCCUUGUGAUAGAAACUAAUCGCCCGGACUGUUCUUGGCCAUCUCAUGGAGAAGUUAAUAUUCAUGAUCUGCAGGUAAUGCAGUUAUGCGGUGUUUAUGACUCAAAGUUGUUAUGUGUUGUUUUUGAAAUAAAUGAUGAUGUUCGAUGUAGGUGCGGUAUGCUCCACACAUGCCACUCGUCUUGCGAGGUAUGACAUGCACAUUUCCUGGAGGGUUGAAAACUGGCAUUGUAGGGAGAACAGGGAGUGGUAAAACAACUCUCAUACAAACACUUUUCCGCAUAGUUGAACCUGCAGCGGGUCAGAUUGUAAUUGAUGGUGUCAAUAUCUCAUCAAUUGGACUGCAUGAUUUGAGGUCAAGACUCAGCAUUAUCCCUCAGGAUCCUACCAUGUUUGAGGGGAAUAUACGGAGUAAUUUGGAUCCUCUUGAAGAGUACACAGACGAACAGAUUUGGGUGGUGGGUUCAUUUCAUUUUGAUUACGAGAGAAAAGCUUUUCUAGUCUGUACCAUUUAUUUUCUAAUAAAAUGCUGUGUAUAUGGUUGGUAUUUGAAGUCUGAUAUGUGUUGAUCUACGUUUCGAUUUUUUAAGGCAUUGGAUAAGUGCCAACUUGGGGAUGGAGUUAGAAAGAAGGAAGGCGGGCUAGAUUCUUCAGGUCUGAUCUUCUAUCAUAUAACAUACAAGUCGGAUGUCAUGCAAGUUGUUUAAAAUCUACUACUAAAUUCAACUGUUUAAAGAAAUGUUGAAGUAUUAUAACAUUGCUUCUGCAGUUACCGAGAAUGGAGAGAAUUGGAGCAUGGGACAGAGGCAGCUGGUCUGUCUCGGGCGUGUGCUGCUCAAGAAGAGUAAGAUCCUAGUGCUAGAUGAAGCUACGGCAUCAGUUGAUACAGCUACCGAUAAUCUGAUUCAGACAACCUUAAGGGAGCACUUUUCUGACUGUACAGUCAUAACAAUUGCACACCGGAUCACUUCUGUUCUUGACAGUGAUCUGGUUCUGCUUCUAAGCCACGGUUAGCACGGUUGUGUUAUCUAUCACUUGCUUGUAGGAUCCUUUGAACUUCAUUU
This 7208-nucleotide long non-coding RNA is filed under the name Theobroma cacao (cacao). RNAcentral describes it as "long non-coding RNA (TCAC_LNC004150)". Lineage: Eukaryota; Viridiplantae; Streptophyta; Magnoliopsida; Malvales; Malvaceae. The record is from RNAcentral.